AUUGAACGCUGGUGGAAUGCUUUACACAUGCAAGUCGAACGGCAGCACGGACUUCGGUCUGGUGGCGAGUGGCGAACGGGUGAGUAAUGUAUCGGAACGUGCCCAGUCGUGGGGGAUAACGUAGUGAAAAUUACGCUAAUACCGCAUACGAUCUAUGGAUGAAAGCGGGGGAUCGCAAGACCUCGCGCGAUUGGAGCGGCCGAUAUCAGAUUAGGUAGUUGGUGGGGUAAAGGCCCACCAAGCCAACGAUCUGUAGCUGGUCUGAGAGGACGACCAGUCACACUGGAACUGGGACACGUUCCAGACUCCUACGGGAGGCAGCAGUGGGGAAUUUUGGACAAUGGGCGAAAGCCUGAUCCAGCCAUUCCGCGUGCAGGAUGAAGGCCCUCGGGUUGUAAACUGCUUUUGUACAGAACGAAAAGGUUUCUACUAAUACUAGGAGCUCAUGACGGUACUGUAAGAAUAAGCACCGGCUAACUACGUGCCAGCCGCCGCCGUAA
RNAcentral lists this ribosomal RNA (500 nucleotides) under uncultured bacterium. RNAcentral describes it as "partial 16S ribosomal RNA". It matches the Rfam family "Bacterial small subunit ribosomal RNA", at positions 30 to 523 of the family's 1533-position model. The record is from RNAcentral.